Molecule: ribosomal RNA, 506 nt
Filed under: uncultured bacterium
Lineage: Bacteria
Description: bacterial SSU rRNA
Rfam family: Bacterial small subunit ribosomal RNA
Source: RNAcentral
GGCGAACGCUAGCGGUACGCCUAACACAUGCAAGUCGAGCGGGAGUUUUUUAGAAGCUUGCUUCUGAAAAACAAGAGCGGCAAACGGGUGAGUAACACGUUGGUACUUGCCCCUUGGUCAGGGAUAGCCCAUCGAAAGAUGGAUUAAUACCGGAUAGUCUCUUCGGAGUAAAGAUUUAUCGCCAAGGGAGAGGCCUGCGUUCUAUCAGCUAGUUGGUGAGGUAAUGGCUUACCAAGGCUAUGACGGAUAACUGGUCUGAGAGGAUGAUCAGUCACAAUGGAACUGAGACACGGUCCAUACUCCUACGGGAGGCAGCAGUGAGGAAUAUUCCACAAUGGGCGAAAGCCUGAUGGAGCGAUACCGCGUGAAGGAUGAAGGUCUAACGAUUGUAAUCUUCUUUUCUGAGGGAGCAUAAUGAUAGUACCUCAGGAAUAAGGGACGGCUAAUUACGUGCCAGCAGCCGCGGUAAUACGUAAGUCCCAAGCGUUGCCCGGAAUUACUGGGUG